Molecule: non-coding RNA, 703 nt
Organism: Pelobates cultripes (western spadefoot toad)
Lineage: Eukaryota; Metazoa; Chordata; Amphibia; Anura; Pelobatidae
Source: the annotation of a GenBank genome assembly
GGGGUGCAGCUACAGAUAGUCCAGACAGAACUCCCACCCUCAGGGAAGUGAGGGAUGGGGGAAAGGCUGCAAGGAGACAUACACUGGGACACUGGGAGACAUUAUGGCAGACACAGACACUAAGGGGCACUGGGAGACAUUAUGGCAGACACUGAGACACUAAGGGACAUUGGGAGACAUUAUGUUAGACACUGAGACACUAAGGGACAUUGGGAGACAUUAUGUCAGACACUGAGACACUAAGGGACACUGGGAGACAUUAUGGCAGACACUGAGACACUAAGGGGCACUGGGAGACAUUAUGGCAGACACUGAGACACUAAGGGACACUGGGAGACAUUAUGGCAGACACUGAGACACUAAAGGGCACUGGGAGACAUUAUGGCAGACACUGAGACACUAAGGGACAGUGGGAGACAUUAUGGCAGACACUGAGACACUAAGGGACAUUGGGAGACAUUAUGGCAGACACUGAGACACUGGGAGAUAUUAUUGCACACAAUGAGACACUAAGGGGCGUUGGGAGACAUUAUGGCAGACACUGAGACACUAAGGGGCACUGGGAGACAUUAUGGCAGACACUGAGACACUAAGGGGCAUUGGGAGACAUUAUGGCAGACACUGAGACACUAAGGGACAUUGGGAGACAUUAUGACAGACACUGAGACACUAAGGGACACUGGGAGACAUUAUGGCAGACACU